Long non-coding RNA from Myotis daubentonii (Daubenton's bat), 1577 nucleotides. RefSeq lists it as uncharacterized. The record is from RefSeq and is a predicted model, not a curated record. Lineage: Eukaryota; Metazoa; Chordata; Mammalia; Chiroptera; Vespertilionidae.
UCCUGGCGGGGGAGAGAGUUUUAAAGAAGCUUAACUUCGUCCUCUCUGUUUUUUUCACAACGGACAGUUUUAAACCCUGACGUUAUGUCAUUGCCCAAAUGCUCCCAGUCCCGAUGUUUACGCAGCACAUGUCCACACACCCUCUAAAGGAAAUCGCUUCCCUGCGAAAUCAAUUAGCACACAAUGGGGAAUCAAGAUAAACCUCUCCUUGCCCAGCAAGUUUUGCAGGGAGAGCUCAAAAUCUGGGCGGACUUCAGGGACAAGGAAUGCAAACUAUGAAGUCACGUGGGGAAGAGCAGGUUAUGUCGCUUUGACCUGGAGGGGUGCGGAGCGGAAGAUGGGGUCCCAAGGGGUCCUCUCUGUUCUGACUGCAUAAGGCAGAGCUGUUCCGCAGGAGAAUACGGUGAGGACCAGAGUUGCGUGAAACCAUGACGGGCUCACGGUCUGUCCCAUUCUGCCGGGACGGGACAAUCGCGCUAGCUCAGGGGGGGAAGGCAGCCCUCGCUCAGGGCAUCGCCUGAGUAGACUUCUCUGAGGGAGCAGUCCCAAAGGUGCUCGAAGUCCACAUACAAGUGGCCCUCCCUGCUCUCUCCUUUGGCUCAGCGGCUCCCUCGGGCAGAGCCUCCCAUGAGUGUUCACGUGGUACUGGAUUCUUAACUGGAACCAGUGCUGAUGAUGAAACGGGCCAAAUGUCACAGCCAAUGCUAGGUGGGGGAGAACCAGCUCAUUCGGGCCCCCACCUGGAGAUCAACAACUCUGAGGGGUCCUGUGGUCUGAAGUCAGAGAGCCACCAGACACCCAGGCUCCCUAAAGCCAGGAGAUGACCGUGUCCUGGGCUGUCAUUAAUUUCUGCCCGCCCAGCAUCCGCCAGUUUCCCCCUCAGACCGGUUUCUUUGGCUGCUCCGCCCACUUACUUUGCUUUGUUUAUAAAGUGGUACGCCUCGUUCCAGUGGGCAAGAAGGUCUGUUGUCUCUUCAUCAUAGACGCGGAUGUUGUGAUAUGCAAAUAAGCCAGGGAAGAAAUUAUCUAUUUCUCUAGUGACAUUUAAGAUGUAGUCAACACUGCAAUGACAAAAAAGAAAAAAAAGAAACACAUUUGGAGAACCAGAAUGAGGAGCUACGAAAAACAAAAUAACCAAAAAUUGAACAGAGAAAAAAAUCAAGUGACCACUUGUUCUGACCGAUGGCACACGUGCUUUCUGAGCAGCACUUCAGAACGUAGGAAGAAGUGGAAAAUCGGGUCUCUGAAUGGUCUGCCUCAAAACAAGAAAAGUUCUAUUGGGACGGUCUCCACAAAUUACCCGAAAGAUGGGGGGAAAUGUGUAGCUAGCGGUGGACAUUACUGUGAAUAAAGCACUUUUGAUGUUUCCCUUGAAAUUAUCCUGUUCUCUUUGGUUACAAAAUCUGCAUUUUUAAUCGGUAUCUGCAUUUUCAACCGGUCUGGUGAAUAAAGCGGGUGGGUUAAUACUUCCCAGGCAAGAUCUUUUAACGUGUCUUUAACUGGUUUUGAAGUGUGUGAUGGUGCAUCAUGAAGCAAAAUUACUUUGCUGUGUCUUCUGGCCCAUUCUGGCCAUUUUA